Molecule: ribosomal RNA, 349 nt
Filed under: uncultured bacterium
Lineage: Bacteria
Description: partial 16S ribosomal RNA
Rfam family: Bacterial small subunit ribosomal RNA
Source: RNAcentral
CCUACGGGGGGCAGCAGUGGGGAAUAUUGCACAAUGGGGGAAACCCUGAUGCAGCGACGCCGCGUGAGUGAAGAAGGAUUUCGGUAUGUAAAGCUCUGUCAGCAGGGAAGAAAAUGACGGUACGGGACCAAGAAGGCCCGGCUAACGACGUGCCAGCAGCCGCGGUAAUACGGAGGGGGCAAGCGUUAUCCGGAGUGACUGGGGGGAAAGGGAGCGUAGACGGCAGGGAAAGUCUGGAGUGAAAGGCGGGGGAUCCACCCCCGGCCUGCUCGGGAAACUGCCAGGCUGGAGGGCAGGAGAGGUCAGUGGCAUUCCUCGUGUAGCGGUUAUCUGCGUAGCUCUUAGGUGG